UCCCACAACCCACAACCAGCCCUUCAACAGUAUUGAGUAGUUUUAUACCGAUAUAAAACUUAUUAUGUUAAAACUAGUAACAAGAAGAAGGCCUUCUCUUUAAUGCCCCCUUAAAUCAGUACGGACAAACCACUGAUAAUUAACGUCCCUGACCCCCCUGUAAAAACUUCAACAAGAAAAACUUACUGACCCCACCGUUAACCUAACACAAGAGCAUUCCAAGAAAGAUUAUAAAAAAAAGAAGGAACUCGGCAAACACCCGCCUCGCCUGUUUACCAAAAACACCGCCUCUUGUAGACAUAAGAGGUCCAGCCUGCCCAGUGACAAUGUUCAACGGCCGCGGUACCCUGACCGUGCGAAGGUAGCGUAAUCACUUGCCCCCUAAUUAGGGGCUAGUAUGAAUGGCUACACGAAGGCUAAACUGUCUCCUUUUUUAGAUCAGUGAAACUAAUCCCCCCGUGAAGAAGCGGGGAUACACCUAUAAGACGAGAAGACCCUAUGGAGCUUAAAACGAAGCAACAAUUGCAAAGCCUAUAUUAAAAAUAACCCGACAGGACAGCUCAAUGAUUGCUAGUUUUGGGUUGGGGCAACCACGGAGAAAAAUAAAACCCCCGCGUUGAAAAGAACACGACCUUAAGCAAAAAGCUACAACUUUAAGCAUCAACAAAUUGACGACAUUGACCCAAUAUUUUGACCAACGAAACAAGUUACCCUAGGGAUAACAGCGCUAUCUACUUCGAGAGCACACAUCUACAAGUAGGCUUACGACCUCGAUGUUGGAUCAGGGUACCCCAGUGGUGUAGCAGCUUCUUAA
This 814-nucleotide ribosomal RNA is filed under the name Gastrotheca pulchra. RNAcentral describes it as "partial 16S ribosomal RNA". It matches the Rfam family "Bacterial large subunit ribosomal RNA", at positions 1490 to 2569 of the family's 2925-position model. The record is from RNAcentral. Lineage: Eukaryota; Metazoa; Chordata; Amphibia; Anura; Hemiphractidae.